Molecule: long non-coding RNA, 876 nt
Organism: Portunus trituberculatus (swimming crab)
Lineage: Eukaryota; Metazoa; Arthropoda; Malacostraca; Decapoda; Portunidae
Exons: 3
Source: RefSeq, a predicted model, not a curated record
GAGAGGGUAAGUUAGUUGUAGUGGUGGCGGUGGUGGUGGUUUAGGGAGGUUACAGGUGUGGUUAUUCAUUUAUUUCGUGUGUGUGAAGGUGAUGGUGAUGUGUAGGUAAACAUUGUUGGUGAGUGCAUUUAUCGUCAUAUAAAGCAAGCCUGUGGUCAUUGCUACUGGUUAUUACUGGUGCGAGAUGAGAUUGGCACCAAAACACUCCCUUUGAUACCACAUGUAGUUCACGAACGUUCCUAAAUGUGAAUACAUAAAGAUGGAAUUCUCGACAACAAAGUGACGUGUGGUGCGGCCUCGUCCUGACGCGUGGCGCCUUGGCCUGGCCCAGCUGCCCAGCGUCAACUUAGCCAUAGAAAGGCAGAUAGAUACAUUUUUGGGACUUUCAAGGCACAAAGGAAUAUUAUUGUACUCUUCUAAAUGUAGUGAAAGAAGUGAGGUCUGAUGGGAAAGUGUCAUAUUGGACAAAACAAGGUGUGUGUUUCCGGGCGCGGGAGUAAAGCCAAGGUCGAAGCCUCAGUCAGUGUAACGAACACAUGUAGUGAAGUCAGUCAUCGCGCUGACGGACGGAGUUGAAGUUCUCAGUGUUUUAGUGAGUGUUAUUAAGUUCUCCCCACUGACAUGCACCGGGCCAACACCAGCAUUGCAGAGGAGAAGAAUAGACGCGUCACAAGUGUGGAAGUCAAUAAUUCUUCUCAACUCGAUGAACAACGAAGGAAAAAAAAUAUUUCCAUUAAGGGUUCACUGUGAACCGUGGCCUGCAGCGGCCGGGUGUUGUGGUAGGGGGAGGUGGCAGCCGUGGCCCCCAGCGCCCCGUGGGUCCAGGAGGAGGUGUGUUCAUCAACCCUGACUUCCCCACCUCCCUGAUCACUCCUG